Molecule: ribosomal RNA, 382 nt
Filed under: uncultured bacterium
Lineage: Bacteria
Description: bacterial SSU rRNA
Rfam family: Bacterial small subunit ribosomal RNA
Source: RNAcentral
CGGUAAUACGGAGGGUGCAAGCGUUGUUCGGAAUUAUUGGGCGUAAAGCGCGUGUAGGCGGUUUCUUAAGUCUGAUGUGAAAGCCCCGGGCUCAACCUGGGAAGUGCAUUGGAAACUGGGAGACUUGAGUACGGGAGAGGGUAGUGGAAUUCCUAGUGUAGGAGUGAAAUCCGUAGAUAUUAGGAGGAACACCGGUGGCGAAGGCGGCUACCUGGACCGAUACUGACGCUGAGACGCGAAAGCGUGGGGAGCAAACAGGAUUAGAUACCCUGGUAGUCCACGCCGUAAACGAUGAGUACUAGGUGUUGCGGGUAUUGACCCCUGCAGUGCCGCAGCUAACGCAUUAAGUACUCCGCCUGGGAAGUACGGCCGCAAGGCUAAA